CAGAUACAAAGGGCCUGACCUUGGCCACGGAGGUCCCAAUUGUGCAGUCAUGGAACUACAGAACUGCUGGGGCUGGGUGGGUCCUGUGGAGAUGGAGCACACUCAGCAUCUUGCCCCAUCCUGAAGCCUGUCAGGAACACAAGUGCAUAGUGAAGUCUCAGGGCUGGAGUUAACAGGACCCAAAUGACCCUUCUAAGAAAGGCCCUCACCUCCUCGAAGAACUGUUGCUGUAACCUCUCGCUUUGUGGUCAGUGUGUAUGAGGUUCCUUCCACUGAGACCACAGCAGCAAGGCAUCUGGUGAAGGGAUAGAGAAGCUCAGCAAGCUUCUUCCAUUCUGCCAGCCACAACAGAGGCAGAACCUGUUC
Molecule: long non-coding RNA, 366 nt
Filed under: Gallus gallus (chicken)
Lineage: Eukaryota; Metazoa; Chordata; Aves; Galliformes; Phasianidae
Description: long non-coding RNA NONGGAT004380
Source: RNAcentral